Molecule: non-coding RNA, 2586 nt
Organism: Monodelphis domestica (gray short-tailed opossum)
Lineage: Eukaryota; Metazoa; Chordata; Mammalia; Didelphimorphia; Didelphidae
Source: RefSeq, a predicted model, not a curated record
AGUCACUGUCCCAGGCUGGAGUUCUGACUUGGAUUCAAGUCCCAGUUCUUCUUCCUUGGGUGCUGCUCACUUUCCCUGGACUUUGGGCUCCACCGAAGCUCCUUCCUUUCCUCAAGUCUCAAGUUCAGGUUGUUCCGCUCUCAAUCUAUGGCUGCUGUUGACUGUUCAUUCCUAGCAAUAUGAGGAAACUGAGGCCCAGAGGUGGAGUGACUUGCCCAAGGUUAUACAGACAGCUGUGUCCCAAAGAGAUCAAUGAAAAGUGUGAAGAUUGGAUUUAGCUGCUAUCCCCUGAUUGUAACAAUGAAGGCCUAGCCAUCAAUGAGAUCCAAGUGUGGACGCUGCACUGCCCUUGAUGGUUAACCAAGGUUUGUUGUAACAAGCCAGGUAGCAGGAGAACCAGGAGAGAGCAGAAUUACAGAAACCCAGAAAGAGAGAAUAUCCAGGAAGACUGGAGAAUUGACAGUGUCAAAAUCUAUACUCCUUCUCAUCCAUCCUUCAUAUAGCUGCCAGAAUGAUUUUUCCUGAAGAUCAGACCUGACCACAUCACUCCUCUGCUCAAUAAGCUCUGGGGGCAGCUCUUUGUCUGGUAUUUAAAGCCCUUUACACUUGGUCCCAGCUCACAUAAGUUUCCAGGCGUAUUAUACAUUGCUUCCCUCCUCACAUAUUAGUCUAGCCAAACAGGCUUUCUUCCUGUUCUCCACAUGGGACAAUCAAUCUCCCACCUCUGUGCAUUUGUUCUAGUUGUCCCCUAAGCCCAGAAUUCCUUCUAUCCUCAUCUCCAUCUCUUGGAAUCCCUCAUUUCCUUCAAAACUCAACUCAGGGACCAUCUUCUGUAUGAAGAUGCUCCUUUCCUGUUCCUCAGUUGCUAAUGCUGCCCUAGGGUUUAUUUUACUACCAGUAUCAUUUAUUCUAUGUAUACUUAUAUAGGUAUAUGUUGUUUCCCCAGGAGAAUAAAAGCUUUUGGGGUCAGGGACUAUUUUGUUUUCAUUUUUUAUGUUUGUAGACCUUAUGCCUACUACAUAUUAGGUGCUUAAUAAUGCUUGCUGCUUCUUUUUGUAGCAGCAAAGAGCUGGAAACUGAAGGGAAGUGCAUCAGUUGGGGAAUGGAGGAACAAAGUGUGGUAUAUGAUGGUGAUGGAGUACUCCUGUGCUAUAAGAAAUGAGAAGCAAGAAGAUGUCAGAAAAAGCUUGAAAGCACUGCAGGAACUGAUGCAGAGUGAAAUGAACAGAACCAAGAGAACAUUGUCAGUAACAGCAGCAUUGUACAAUGAUCAACUGGGAAAACUUGGCUACUCUUAGCAGUGUGAUGAUCUGGGACAAUUCUGAAAGAUGUGAUGGCGAAUGUAGACUCUCUUCCACAUCAGAGCACUUAUGUUUCUAUUUUACAGUUUUGGAUACUAUGAGUGUGCUUUUACAACAGUGACCUAUAUGGAAAUAGGUUUUGCAUGAUAAUAAAAAUUAGAAAAAAAUCCUUACUGCUCCAUUGAAAUGAGUGGGUAUACAUAUGUAUGCUUCCGCCAUAUUCUUCCACUGGAAAUCCAUCAAUGAUUUGACCUCCGCUGAACUCCUUGGAGGUAGCCUCCAUUAUUAGAAGCCAAUGGGGAGGGUGCAACUGGGUGGUUCAGUGGAUUGAGAGUCAGGCCCAGAGACAGGAGGUCUUGGAUUCAAAUCUGGACUUAGACACUUCCCAGCUGUGUGACCCUGGGCAAGUCACUUAACCCCCAUUGCCUAGCCUUUACCACUCUUCUGCCUUAGAACUGAUAUUCAGUAUUGAUUCUAAGACGGAAGGUAAGGGUUUAAAAGGUUUUAAAAAAAAGAAAAAAAGAAACCAAUGGAGGAGGAAAUGGAAUUGGUCAAGUAUUUUUCUCUUGAUCUAAAUGAACAUAUCCCCAUGGAAUAUGGACCUGUCCACUGGUCCCUUCAUCAGAGGACAAUAGACCACUCUUGAUUGGUGACUGGAGGACUAUAACAUUUUGAGAAAAGCUAAAAAAAGGCUGCUUAUUGGAGAGGGGGAAAAAGAAGGGACUAGUCUUUUUUUAAAAUCCCUUACCUUCUGUCUUAUAAUUGAUUAAAACAUCAGUUCCAAUACUCAUAUUGGAUGCAACUUAUAUGAGUAUUGGUUCUGAGGUAGAAGAGUGAUAAGGUCUAGGCAAUUGGGGUUAAAUGACUUGCCCAGGGUCACACAGCUAGGAAGUAUCUAAAAUGAGAUUGGAACUCUGGUCCUUCUGACUCCAGAUCUGGCACUCUAUCCACUGUGCUACAUAGCUGUCCUGAGAAGGGACUUGUCUUGAGGAGAAAAAGAAAAAAGUUAUUUUAAUGAGACUUGAAUCAUGGUUCAUCUUGUCUGUUUCCAGACAAGUGAAAAGGAGUCAUCUCCUGACAUAUUAAGAGUCAAGGUGACUCGGACUGUGACACUGGCCUUAGCCAAAGUAUUAGAGAUGGUUUUAUAGACCUACGUUUAUCAUAUGUCCAUUUGUUAAAAUCUGGUAUACGUGGGGGCAGCUGGGUGGCUCAGUGGAUUGGGAGCCAGGUCUAGAGAAGGGAUGUCCUGGGUUCAAAUGUGGCCUCAGACACUUCCCAGCUAUGU